GGGAACAAACUCGAUAUUAUUCUCUCCCCACAGUUCUUCGUCUGUCCCAUGGAUUCAUGCACCCCUAAGGGUCUUCCCUUUAUUGCUGUAGGAAGAGCAAAGUAUUUGGAACGUACGUGCGCCCUUCAGUUAAAGGGAAACAGCCAUGCGUGAAAAAGACCCAAUCUCUGCUUCGAUCAAACUUGUCUUCUAGUCAGGGGGAAAACACUGCAAACUGUCAGGUCAGUUGGUGUCUCUUGAUGACAAUGAAGAAACCGUUUGCAGGACAUGUAUGCUGAUGGCGAUGAUCAAUGGAGAAGGAGAAACUGAUGUUGUAGAAGAGAAGAGAAGUACAAAAGGGAAUUCAUAGAAGGCAAGAGGGAUAGGAUCCAAAUGUGUCAAUAUUCACUUGAUAGAGUUACAUCCAUAGGCAGAUAUUGAGCAAGAACCUGAGAACCCCCAUACGCUAAGGUACCAUGGAUAAGCGAGAUGGUCCCUUUCUUCUAAAAGUUAUAGCAGGGGCUGGCCCCGUGGCCGAGUGGUUAAGUUCGCGCGUUCCACUGCAGGCGGCCCAGUGUUUCGUUGGUUCG
Molecule: long non-coding RNA, 569 nt
Organism: Equus caballus (horse)
Lineage: Eukaryota; Metazoa; Chordata; Mammalia; Perissodactyla; Equidae
Source: RefSeq, a predicted model, not a curated record